Molecule: non-coding RNA, 2129 nt
Organism: Oncorhynchus mykiss (rainbow trout)
Lineage: Eukaryota; Metazoa; Chordata; Actinopteri; Salmoniformes; Salmonidae
Source: RefSeq, a predicted model, not a curated record
AGAAAACAUUAAGGACACCCCUCUACCCUCACCAUCAUCCUACCAUCAGACUGGAUAGAAAACAUUAAGGACACCCCUCUACCCUCACCAUCAUCCUACCAUCAGACUGGAUAGAAAACAUUAAGGACACCCCUCUACCCUCACCAUCCUACCAUCAGACUGAAUAGAAAACAUUAAGGACACCCCUCUACCCUCACCAUCCUCCCAACUCUCGGCUGCUUCUCGUGUAUUUUUGUCUGUCCAUGGAGAGAGCUAGAGAACUGUUGACCGCAUCUGAAAUGGCACCCUGUUCCCUAUCAAGUGCACUACUGCCCUAAGGGCCCCGGUUAAAAGUAGGGGCCUACAGUAUUUAGAGAAUAGGUUGCCAUUUGGGAACAUUCCUGAUGUAAAAUGUUUCUAUCCCCUCCUCUCUACUGCGUCUGUAUCUUGUAAAAACAGUUUCCUCAUCCUGCUGUGCCCUCGAAUUUUGACGGAUUCAUGCUUACACACACACACACACAGGCAUGCAAUAACGUGUACAUACAGAUGUACACACAUGCAUGUAGCACGUUACACACACACACACACACACAUGCAGAAACACACACUGAACAAUGUUAGAUUUUUCUGGGAUAAUUCUGGUGGUAAUAAUGUCAAUUUUUAUUUUUAUAUAUAUUUUUUAGCAUAAUGUCAUUACUCGUUAUGUAUUGUUUUAAAGCGAUGCGCUGUCAAUUUUCCUCCCAAAUUUGAAGAUGUCAUAUGAAAGGAUGUCCAAGUAACUUCUGGUGUCAAGGGAUGAUGUCCUGUUGUUGAGUCUAAGACAACUCCCAUAACGGGUGCUUCACGGUGUUCUGAACAGUCCGUGUGUCAAGGGAUGAUGUCCUGUUGUUGAGUCUAAGACAACUCCCAUAACGGGUGCUUCACGGUGUUCUGAACAGUCUGUGUGUCAAGGGAUGAUGUCCUGUUGUUGAGUCUAAGACAACUCCCAUAACGGGUGCUUCACGGUGUUCUGAACAGUCUGUGUGUCAAGGGAUGAUGUCCUGUUGUUGAGUCUAAGACAACUCCCAUAACGGGUGCUUCACGGUGUUCUGAACAGUCCGUGUGUCAAGGGAUGAUGUCCUGUUGUUGAGUCUAAGACAACUCCCAUAACGGGUGCUUCACGGUGUUCUGAACAGUCCGUGUGUCAAGGUUGUUACUGGUUCACAUUCUGAACCUUAUUGCCAAGGGUUACUUUAUUGUUUAAUACUUUUUGGGACACAUGGAGUGUAAAAUGGACAAGCCACUACUGGUUUGAUAACACUCUGGUUCCCAGAUUGCUUUAUGAAAGGAUGUCAGUGUAACUAUUGGGGCUCAGGUGAAACAGGUGUGGGGUUAACAUCUUUUGGACAAAUGGCCACAAUUUCCACCGUCGUAAUUCCCCUGUAUAAAACGCAUUGGUGUGUUUUCCUGCUCAUGCCACGUGUUGCUCACCCAGGGCUGUUUUCUGUCUGUUUCCUGGAUCUUGGUAGCAGGUCUGUUUCCUGGAUCUUGGUAGCAGGUCUGUUUCCUGGAUCUUGGAAGCAGGUCUGUUUCCUGGAUCUUGGAAGCAGGUCUGUUUCCUGGAUCUUGGUAGCAGGUCUGUGCUCUCUUGCCAACUUCUUAUGUAAUUGUCAUGCUAAAUGCUGACCGUGGAGUAGGCAAAAGCACAAACAGACCUGGGACCAGGCUAAUAUCUUGGCGCUGAAGUCUAUGAUGACUAUGCCACCUGAUGUACGUACAGCUCUAGAUUCUUCCUCUGGUCUCCAAUGCCUGUCUAGUAUGUACUGCUUUCUCAGCUUUGCUCGCAAGUCCAACCUCUCCAAACACCUGCUUAGACGUCAUAAACCUAAAUGAUAAUGAUGUAUAUUAACAUAACACCUUUUAUGAAACUCUGUUACUCUCUUCCUCUGGUCUCAUCCAGUGCCUGUCUAGUAUGUACAGCUCUAGAUUCUUCCUCUGGUCUCUCCAAUGCCUGUCUAGUACGUACAGCUCUAGAUUCUUCCUCUGGUCUCAUCCAGUGCCGGGUAGAUUAUAGUUAUAAAAUAUCCCCCUCCUUGUAUACUGUCAGGUAGACCCAGCUCUAGAAUUACCCCCAAGGUGCUGUCUCUUCUUCGUUCUCCUUUAGAUACGGC